CAGUCGCCGCGGUAAUACGAGGGGGGCAAGCGUUGUUCGGAAUUAUUGGGCGUAAAGGGUGCGUAGGCGGUUUGAUAAGUCACAUGUGAAAUCUUCGGGCUCAACCCGAAGUCUGCAUGCGAAACUGUCGGGCUUGAGUAUUGGAGAGGUGAGUGGAAUUUCCGGUGUAGCGGUGAAAUGCGUAGAUAUCGGAAGGAACACCUGUGGCGAAAGCGGCUCACUGGACAAUAACUGACGCUGAUGCACGAAAGCUAGGGGAGCAAACAGGAUUAGAUACCCCGGUAGUCCCUGUCUCUUAUAC
Molecule: ribosomal RNA, 301 nt
Filed under: uncultured bacterium
Lineage: Bacteria
Description: partial 16S ribosomal RNA
Rfam family: Bacterial small subunit ribosomal RNA
Source: RNAcentral